Molecule: ribosomal RNA, 497 nt
Filed under: uncultured bacterium
Lineage: Bacteria
Description: partial 16S ribosomal RNA
Rfam family: Bacterial small subunit ribosomal RNA
Source: RNAcentral
GAUGAACGCUGGCGGCGUGCCUAAUACAUGCAAGUCGAGCGAACAGACGAGGUGCUUGCUCCUCUGACAUUAUCGGCGGAAGUGUGAGUAACACGUGGAUAACCUACCUAUAAGACUGGGAUAACUUCGGGAAACCGGAGCUAAUACCGGAUAAUAUAUUGAACCGCAUGGUUCAAUAGUGAAAGACGGUUUUGCUGUCACUUAUAGAUGGAUCCGCGCCCCAUGAGCUAGUUGGUAAGGUAGCGGCUUACCAAGGCAACGAUGCGUAGCCGACAUGAGAUGGAGAUCGGCCACACGGGAACUGAGGCACGGUCCAGACUCCGACGGGAGGACACAGUAGGGAAUCUUCCGGGAUGGGCGAAAGGCUGACGGAGCAACGCGGCGUGAGUGAUGAAGGUCUUCGGAUCGGAGAACUCUGUUAUUAGGGAAGAACAAAUGUGUAAGUAACUAUGCACGUCUUGACGGUACCUAAUCAGAAAGCCACGGCUAACUACGUG